This 72-nucleotide transfer RNA is filed under the name Camelus bactrianus (Bactrian camel). It matches the Rfam family "tRNA". Rfam says of the family: Transfer RNA (tRNA) molecules are approximately 80 nucleotides in length. Their secondary structure includes four short double-helical elements and three loops (D, anti-codon, and T loops). Lineage: Eukaryota; Metazoa; Chordata; Mammalia; Artiodactyla; Camelidae. The record is from Rfam by way of RNAcentral. RNAcentral also lists the same sequence under 2 other names.
GAGGGUAUAGCUCAGUGGUAGAGCAUCUGCCCAGCAAGCACAGGGUCCUGGGUUCAAUGCCCAGUACCCCCA